RNAcentral lists this ribosomal RNA (253 nucleotides) under uncultured bacterium. RNAcentral describes it as "partial 16S ribosomal RNA". It matches the Rfam family "Bacterial small subunit ribosomal RNA", at positions 524 to 776 of the family's 1533-position model. The record is from RNAcentral.
UACGUAGGGUGCGAGCGUUAAUCGGAAUUACUGGGCGUAAAGCGUGCGCAGGCGGUUCGUUGUGUCUGCUGUGAAAGCCCCGGGCUCAACCUGGGAAUGGCAGUGGAAACUGGCGAGCUGGAGUGUGGCAGAGGGGGGUGGAAUUCCGCGUGUAGCAGUGAAAUGCGUAGAGAUGCGGAGGAACACCGAUGGCGAAGGCAGCCCCCUGGGCUGACACUGACGCUGAGGAGCGAAAGCAUGGGGAGCGAACAGG